GGCCUCUGUCCUCAUUCUUAGUACAGCUCAGGUGGCUUGUUUUGUUUUGUUUUUCUCCUCCUGUUCUCACACACAUAUACACAUAUGCACUGGUCUUCUUCCCCAGGCCUCCAUUCCUGCGUCCAAGCCACCCCAUUCUCCCAGAACAUUCCCUGUGCUCUGGCCAACCUCUCAGUAUCUAUUCUUGCUUUGCCUCAUAGCUCAGUGCUACUUCUUCCAGAAAGCUUUCCUGGGAAAUUCUCUUCUUUCUUUUUGUUUUUCCUUAGCUCUCUCUCACCACUUAUGUAACAAUGCCCAGCUCCCAGGAAGAGGAGCAGAAGAGGAGCUGAGAAUGAGAAAACAGCUCCCAGCAGCCAGGAACUUGCCUGGCACUCUCAGCGAUGCUUGGGUUUUCCAUAAGCAUUUCACAGAAUACCAACAUCAGGCAAGGCCACGCUGUGACUGACCUCAAGAGAUCAAGACAGAAACAAGAUCUCUCAGUAAUCAUCUCUGAACAAAGACAGAAACAAGAACACUGUCAAAACCACAAGAAUAACGAAGCAUCUGUGCAUCCAAGCUAACAUGAGCCAGUGCUGCUUCUUUUCCAAGCAUUUAGCCUUGCUUUAUUCCUCCCACCUUGUAUAGGACAGAAGAUUUAUUGAUACUCUACUUUUUUUUUGAGAUGGAAUCUCCCUCUGUUGCUCAGGCUGAAGUGCAGUGGCACGAUCUCGGCUUACUGCAGCCUCUGCCUCCUGGAUACUCCUCUUUCUGAGCAGCAUCCAAUCCCAAGCAAAGCCUCACUUCCUUCACCUCUUCCCCAAAUCACCAAAUAUAUCUGCUGGUGGUCUUUUGACUGGAGGACACUGAUGAUCAAGAACAACAUACAGACAAGCUGCUACACCUCCCCACCCUGAAUCGUCUGUUCCAGUGGAUUGGAUUGAUUCUUCAGUCCUUGGGUGUGCUUACAAGUUUGCUACAUCCAUAGUCUUCCCUUACCAAUCUUUUUUCUUCUUAAUUUAUUUUCUUAAUUUUUUUUUUGUUUUAUGUUUUCUUCUUCUUAAUUUCUUUUUCUUUUCUUUUCUUUCUGGAGUCUUGCUCUGUAGCCCAGGCUGGAGUGCAGUGGCGCAGUCUUGGCUUACUGCAACCUCUGCUUCUUGGGUCCCAGUUCAAGCAGUUCUCCUACCUCAGCCUCCCAAGUAGCUGGGAUUACAGGCAUGAGCCACCAUGCCCAGCUAGUUUUUGUACUUUUUAGUAGAGACAGGGUUUCACAGUUUUGGCCAGUCUGGUCUUGAACUCCUGACCUCGUUAUUUACCCAUCUCGGCCUUCCAAAGUGCUGGGAUUACUGGUGUGAGCCACCUCACCCGGCCCUUCUUUUCUUUUUUUUUUUUUGAGAUGGCGUUUCGCUUUUGUUGCCCAGGCUGGAGUGCAGCGCAGUGAUCUCGGCUCAUCGUAACCUCCGCCUCCCAGGUUCAAGCGAUUCUCCUGCCUCAGCCUCCUGAGUAGCUGGGAUUACAGGAAUGUGCCACCAUGCCCAGCUAAUUUUGUAUUUUUGUAGAUAUGGAGUUUCACCAUGUUGCCCAAGCUGAUCUUGAACUCCUGAGUUUGAGUGAUCUGCCCACCUCAGCCUCCCAAAGUGUUGGAUUACAGGCAUGAACCACUGCAGCUAGCCUGAAUUCAUCAGUUUGAACUAUACAGUUCGAUGAUUUUUCAGUUAUUCCCCAUUUCCUCAUCAACCCUACACACCUAGGCAACUAUUAAUCUAGUUUCUGUCUUUUUGGAUUUGCCUAUUCUGGACAUUUUCUAUAAAGGGACAUAGGCUCUAUGGUCUUUCGUGGUUGGCUUCUUUCACCUUGGCAUAAUGUUUUCAACUAUAACCUUGUUUUAAAUUUUUCUGGUCUUGAUAGGGAAAAGCCACCUUUGUUUUUGUUUGAGACAGCGUCUCCCUCUGUUGCCCAGGCUGCAGUGCAGUGGCGCGAUCUCGGCUCACUGCAACCUCUGCCUUCCGAGGUUCAAACUAUUCUCCUGCCUCACCUUCCAGAGUAGCUGGGAUUACAGGCACCCGCCACCAACCUGGCUAAUUUUUUUUUAGUAGAGAUGGUGUUUCACCAUGUUUGCCAGGCUGGUCUCGAACUCCUGACCUCAAGUGAUCCACUCACGUCAGCCUCCCAAAGUGCAGGGAUUGCAGGUGUGAGCCACUGUGCCUGGUCAGGAAGAGCCAUCUUAACAUAUUAAUCUGGCUACAGACUUCUAUUUGAUUUUUAAAUUUUUCUUGUAGAGAUGGGGACCUCACUCUUGCCCAGGCUGGUCUUAAACUCCUGGGUUUAAGUGAUCCUCUCACCUCAGCCUUCCCAAAUCCUGGGAUUAUAUGCGUGAGCCACCAUACCCAGUCUUGGCUAUGGAGUUUUUUUUUGUUUGUUUGUUUUUGAGACAGAGUUUCGCUCUUGUUACCCAGGUUGGAGUGCAAUGGCGCGAUCUUGGCUCACUGCAACCUCCGCCUCCUGGGUUCAGGCAAUUCUCCUGCCUCAGCCUCCUGAGUAGCUGGGAUUACAGGCACAUGCCACCAUGCCCAGCUAAUUUUUUGUAUUUUUAGUAGAGACGGUGUUUCACCAUGUUGACCAGGAUGAUCUCGAUCUCUUGACCUUGUGAUCCACCCGCCUCGGCCUCC
Molecule: non-coding RNA, 2645 nt
Organism: Callithrix jacchus (white-tufted-ear marmoset)
Lineage: Eukaryota; Metazoa; Chordata; Mammalia; Primates; Cebidae
Source: RefSeq, a predicted model, not a curated record